This 253-nucleotide ribosomal RNA is filed under the name uncultured bacterium. RNAcentral describes it as "partial 16S ribosomal RNA". It matches the Rfam family "Bacterial small subunit ribosomal RNA", at positions 524 to 776 of the family's 1533-position model. The record is from RNAcentral.
GACAGAGGGUGCAAACGUUGUUCGGAAUUACUGGGCGUAAAGCGCGUGUAGGCUGCUCUGCAAGUCGGAUGUGAAAGCCCUGGGCUCAACCUAGGAAGUGCACUCGAAACUGCAGAGCUUGAGUCUCGGAGAGGGUCGCGGAAUUCUCGGUGUAGAGGUGAAAUUCGUAGAUAUCUGGAGGAACACCGGUGGCGAAGGCGGCGUCCUGGACCAACACUGACACUGAAAAGCGAAAGCCAGGGGAGCAAACGGG